Molecule: unclassified non-coding RNA, 253 nt
Filed under: uncultured Phycisphaeraceae bacterium
Lineage: Bacteria; Pseudomonadati; Planctomycetota; Phycisphaerae; Phycisphaerales; Phycisphaeraceae
Description: contains 16S-23S intergenic spacer region
Rfam family: Bacterial small subunit ribosomal RNA
Source: RNAcentral
UACGGAGGGUGCAAGCGUUGUCCGGAAUCACUGGGCUUAAAGGGUGCGCAGGCUGGCCUGUAAGUGUCUUGUGAAAUCCCAUGGCUCAACCAUGGAAUUGCUUGGCAAACUACAGGUCUUGAGCCCGAAAGAGGUCGUCGGAACGCUAGGUGGAGCGGUGAAAUGCGUAGAUAUCUAGCGGAACGCCAAAGGUGAAGGCAGACGACUGGGUCGUCGCUGACGCUCAGGCACGAAAGCAUGGGUAGCGAACAGG